RNAcentral lists this ribosomal RNA (469 nucleotides) under uncultured bacterium. RNAcentral describes it as "bacterial SSU rRNA". It matches the Rfam family "Bacterial small subunit ribosomal RNA", at positions 29 to 507 of the family's 1533-position model. The record is from RNAcentral.
AGUGAACGCUGGCGGCAUGCCUAACACAUGCAAGUCGAACGCAUUUUGACAGUUUAUCGUCAGGGUGAGUGGCAAACGGGUGAGUAAUACGUGGACAAUCUUCCCUCGAGCGGGGAACAACUCCGGGAAACCGGAGCUAAUACCGCGUGAGACCACGUCCUGGCAUCAGGAUGAGGUUAAAGCUCCGCAAGGGGCGCUUGAGGAGGGGUUCACGGCCUAUCAGCUAGUUGGCGGGGUUAAAGCCCACCAAGGCGACGACGGGUAACCGGUCUGAAAGGACGACCGGUCACAAUGGCACCGAGACACGGGCCAUACUCCUACGGGAGGCAGCAGUGGGGAAUUUUGCGCAAUGGGGGAAACCCUGACGCAGCGAUGCCGCGUGGAGGACGAAGGCCCUAGGGUCGUAAACCGGCUUUCAGUAGGGACGAAAAUGACGGUACCUGCAGAAGAAGCUCCGGCCAACUACGUG